RNAcentral lists this long non-coding RNA (2322 nucleotides) under Mytilus galloprovincialis (Mediterranean mussel). The record is from RNAcentral. Lineage: Eukaryota; Metazoa; Mollusca; Bivalvia; Mytilida; Mytilidae.
AACAUUGACUAUGUACGAUGAACGCAUCAGUAUUUCGUGUGUAUUUGAGUCUGGACGCCUUCUAAUUGACCGUAUAUGUGACCUCUACAGACUGCUGGUUGUCAUAUAAUACGAUAUAAAUAUAAAUACAGAUAUAAAUAGAUAGUGAAGACGUGCAUUUGGUUUUUGCUUUGAUUUCAUAUCAUAGGUUUCGACAAUACAUUAAUCAUCAUUUGUGUCGGUAUUAUAAUAUGUUGUUUUAGAUUGAACCAGUAAAUCAUAUUGUUUAACGUUGUUAUACUUUAAUGUUGGUGUUCUUUUCCUUUUCAUAAUAUAACACGCCUUGCUUACGUGUAACCUAUGUCUAGCUAAGGGGUUAAAUUGAAGGUCACAUGAAAAAGGAUUCAACGAGGUCAUACUCUGAACUUAACUUGCAAGUGAUUUUUUUGUUAUCAGCGAUUUUUCUAAGCUAUUUUGACAAAAUUGAACCAUACUAAAUGCAUGAUUAUUCUAAUAUUUCAUUUUCAAUAAUGAACAAACAUAACAAAAUAUUCGUCUCAAUGCAAUUUUAUAAAAGAGUCUUCUGAAAAACUUUUAAUACAUUUUUUAUUUUAACUUGUUAAAACGGUUUUGAUUGUCUGGCUUUUUGUAUCCAUACGUAUAAACAUGAUAAAGGAUAAUCCAAUAGUUAUUCAUGAUAAAAUUAAGGGUCGCGCACAAUUCCACUAUACUACAAUUAUGCUGUUGGAACGUAUACUUAAACUGUAGGUAUAAAUAUGAAAAUAAAAAGAUACAUAUAUCCACCAGAGACCAAAUGAAAUAUAAGAAUUUACAAUUAUAGGUCACUGUACGGUCUUCAACAGUCAUACCGCAUAAUCAGCUAUAAAUGGACCGAAUUACAAGUCGUGUUAAACAAUUCAAACAAGAAAACUAACUGCCUGAUUUAUGUACGCGCGUCUGGCGUACUAAAUUAUAAUCAUGGUACCUUUGAUAACUAUGUAACAAAACAAUGAACGAAAAACAUAUAUUUUAACAUCUGAUAAAAAAAAAUCAUGCAUCUAAAACUACAGAAUUAAUUAGUAAACAUCAAUUACACAUAUCCAUAUUCAAAGCGUAUUUAUGUAUACUUUUAAAAGUGUUAAUAAAUAACUCAAAAAUUUAUAAUCAUGAACAUAAUACACAGUUUCAUAACUAUUUUAUAACUUUUUUGAUCUGAGCGUCACUGAUGAGUCUUAUGAAGACGAAACGCGCGUCUUGCGUGAUGAAUUAUGCUUCUGGUAUCUUUGAUAGCAAACAAUCAAAUCACUUUCAUGGUUGAUAUAGUCAUUGAAGAAACAAAAAAUAAUCUGUAAUUAAUACCAAAGAAACAUCAGUUUUGGAAAGAGUAUUUACUAAACAAACAGCAGUAGGAUAUUUGUUUAGCUUCAUUAAACUGACGUGUUAAUAUUAAUCUUUAUAUAUGUCAUUAGUAAAGUGUUUUUGGGUCUAUGAUACCUGUUUUAGUCGAGGUGUUGCCAAGUGUUAAUAUAGCUUGUUAAAACCAAUAACGACUGUACUGGAACAUUAUAUAUGAUUAAAUUGCAAACACUCGUUUAAUGAUAUCAGCAUUAUUCGAUACUUUAAAUAAUCUCCCAAGCAGACUCAGAUCGAAUUUAUCAAUGAUUCGAAAGGCCAAAAACGGUCAAACAUAUAAACUAUAAAAGUAUAGUUUCAUGUUGAACAACGCCCUCAGAACAAGUAUCCUUAACGGUUGACAAAUUUGUAUAUCGAACCUUCGUAUGAGUCACAAUGGUAUAGUAUUUAAAAAAAAUGUUUUAUCAUUACAUAUCAAAAUUAACAACUUUAACAUCAAACUUGAUAAAAUAUAAAACUUUACAAAAGACACACACUGCAUCUUUUCUGACAUCUUUAUGAACCAUUAUCAGACAUUUUAAAUUCUCUAUUAUACCUGGGUUUUUGUUCUAUAAUUAGUAAUCAAUGGUACCAAGUUUAUAGUGUUAUUCGCCAGACGCGCGUUUCGUCUACAUAAGACUCAUCAGUUACGCUCAAAUCAAAAUAGUUAUAAAGCCAAAAAAAAAAAAAAAAAAGACAAAGUGGUAGAGCAUUGAGGACCAAAAAUUCCAAAAAAUUGUGCCAAAUACGGUUAAGGUAAUAUAUGCCUGGGAUAAGAUAACCCUUAGUUUUUCGAAAAAUGCAUUAGUUUUGUAAGCAGGAAUUUUAUAAAAAUUACCAUAUAGUAUGAAAUUCAAAACAGUGUGGCUGUGGCCAUUGAUUGACACAUUAAAUUCAUCCAUUGACUGGGACAAUUUACGUGACCGUUUGUCUGUAACGACCACUGUUCAC